This 406-nucleotide unclassified non-coding RNA is filed under the name Basidiomycota sp. Its description in RNAcentral is "partial contains small subunit ribosomal RNA and internal transcribed spacer 1". The stretch from base 1 to 47 matches the Rfam family "Eukaryotic small subunit ribosomal RNA", at positions 1785 to 1831 of the family's 1831-position model. The record is from RNAcentral. Lineage: Eukaryota; Fungi; Basidiomycota.
AAAGUCGUAACAAGGUUUCCGUAGGUGAACCUGCGGAAGGAUCAUUAACACAACCCUGCGUCGAUAUCGAUGGCUUAACCGCUGGCUGAUAUCGAUGCGAAUCACAUCAACGUUGAAUAAGUUUAUCUCCCUAGUACCUGCGGUUGGCUGGUUCGACCUCGGUCGGUCCGGUCGGCUGUAGGACUCUAGGAUCAUGCCGUGUCGACCUGGCAUUCAAUUGCAAGCUUGGCCUACGAUUCGUUCGUCCGCCGAGUGGGGCAUGGCGAUGUAUUCACCCACACCCUUUUUCAUACCCUGAACUGAUACACGGUCGAUAUGUAAACUCGUGUUAUGUAUUGAUCCGACUUGACUGUCAUGGUCAAAUCAAACCACUAUACAACUCUUAACAACGGAUAUCUCGGUUGAC